Molecule: long non-coding RNA, 1908 nt
Organism: Metopolophium dirhodum (rose-grain aphid)
Lineage: Eukaryota; Metazoa; Arthropoda; Insecta; Hemiptera; Aphididae
Exons: 6
Source: RefSeq, a predicted model, not a curated record
UGAAUUGAUACGAAUUUUUCAUUUAAUAUUUACGCGUUUCCGUUAUUUAAUAAAAGACGGGAAUUGUGAUUGUGAUUCUUAUAAUUUCUACUUGUGUUUUGUCUCCUACCUACUUGAUUAUAAAUAUGAAACGGAUAGCCCCACUCAAUCGUUAGUCCUUAUAUUAUUAGCCUACUUGCCUUUUUACCUACUUGCGAUUUAUAACACAUAAUGAACAUCAUAAAAAUGACGAACAAGAGACGAGUGUAAAAAAGUCAAGACCAAGGGAGAAUAAACGACAAACAAUUAAUGUUCAUGGUAGACCAUAUGUUACAAGACCAUGUCGCAACUGGCAAAUUUCAAACUAUAAAUGGAAAAAAAUUACCUCUAAGUAUCGUGGGAUGAGUUAUACACCUCAACGAUUUUCGGAAUACUGGUGUAAAAGAAAAAAAUAUAAAAUCCUGGAAAGAGCUAUGAAUUAUGUUCUGCCACAGUCUAUUGAUCCUAUGAAAUCAACCAAUUUAGAUGAUACUAAUUGUUCAGUUAUAAACAGCCAAGUUAAGUUGCCAUAAUCUAUUGGUCCCAUGAAAUCAACCCACUCAGAUGAUACUUGUUCAUUUAUACACAGUCGAGUUGAGCUUGUAUCUACAAUAAAUCAUUCCUCAUCAAUUAGUGUUGCUCCUAUACCUUUUGUGUCGACGACCAAUCUUAACGACCUUGAUGGAAUACAACCACUUGAUUCAAUAACACCUGAAGAUCCUGGUUCUACUCAAAAAAAGUAUACUCUUCCAAGGAGAAAAUGAAAAGGCUAUCUAAAAGAAAUCAAUUUUACUCAGCAAAAAUACAUGAUACCAAAAAAACAAUUUCUAUACAAGGCAGUAGUGGAUCUGAAAAAAACGUUAUCCAUUGUAAAUAAGCAACAUUCAAUAACUGAACAUAAGGGUUCAGUUGCGCCCUAGGUUAGGUUAGAAAGUCUAGCUUUUACUCUCUGAAUGGUCAAUUUAUAGGUGGCAACAAAAAAUUAGAAAAGGAAGCUUCAGACACUGCAAAACUCUGUCUAUUUGUGAAUUAAAUUAUUUGACAGUGUUUAUAAUAGUUCCAAUUAUUCAGCCUGGGAAGGAAUUUGCGCAAUGCUGUGACGUCCACAUCAAUCCAUUGGAAAUUCUGGAAGGAAGCUCUAUUGGUUUUAGAGAGUAUGAAUUUUGGAACCAGUAAAGUUCCAACCAUAAAAACCUAGAUAUCCACAAUAAUGUUUCCAAUAUUUAUUUAAAAAAACUUAAAUAAUGGUUUUAAAUUUAUACCUGCGCUUAAAUUGCGCUCCUUUAAUCAAGACCCAGGGGAAAUAUUUUCUGUUAAGCCCGCAGUCAUGGUUUACAAAAUACAAUCCCAACUUUUUCCAUUUUCAAAAUUCAUUUAAAUCACUUGUUAUCAAUAAUUUGAUUUCUUCUCAAUCUGUUGAUGCAAACUUUCAAAAAUAUAAUUGUGAUAAUUUAAUGUGAAAAGUACUUGACACCUUAAUUAUGACAAGGAGGCGAAAAUUAUAUUCUUUUGCAUAUUUUUUUAUACAGUCACACGGGGGUUUGAAAAUCUUUACAAAUCACGAAACAUGUAAAUGAAUGGCAAAAGUUGUUUUUGCAUAUUUGAGAAUAUUUCAAAAUAAAAGAAUAUUUUGUAUAAUAAAGAAUAUUAGAGAAUAUAUCGAUUAAUUAUAUAGAUUUUUAUAUUUUGUGUUGCAGUGGUGUAAAUAAUAUAAAUGAUAUGCCCGAUAAUAGUGAUAUAUAUUCGUGUUGUAUAUUUAUGUACCAAUGUGUAUACGUUAAUUGUUAUUUAUAAGUUAUAAACCUAUAACCCAUAUAGUAAUUUUUUAGUUGAUUUAUAGUACAUAACAAUGAAAAAUUGUGUUAAAAAUACGUCAUUUAUUUAAUUUAA